CAGCCAGUUCGGAACAGUUACCGCGCGUACUUUGUCACGUUCGCGUCGGUUAUCGUGGUCACAAGCCCACCGCGAGACUUGAACUGCUUUUCCUCAGUGAUCCUGAGCAUUUUGUCUUCGCUUCAAGACUCUUUUAAUUCCUUGCAUUGUAUCACGGGUGAAGACCAUCAAUGAAGAAACGCUUCAUGGAUCAGACCAAAGCCCAAUUACCGCAGAAAGCUUGCAUUCCAUGCAAUUUUUCAUCCAUCAUCCUUUCAUAAAAGUAUUUCUUUACGUCCCAUUUCUUGAAGGAUUCACAUUUGCAAUCUAAAUAAAAACACUCAAGGGAGAACCAGUCUGCACUGCGACAUAAUUAAUAUACAAAAUCCAAACUAAUAUACUGAUAUACUAACAUACAACAAAUAUAUAGAUAUUGUUUCCAAAUGGUUUCCAAGGUGUUGGAAGAGAAAUCAAUGUGGCUAACAUAGUUCAACCCCUAACGAACAAUCCUCAACUUUUUCUAUUAUUGUCAAUACAUGAAAUUUAAAGAGAUAUAUAGAAGCAAACCAUCACACUGGAUGGAAAACCAUGUUUUAAAACCAUCACACUGGAACCUCACAUAACUUGCUCAGAAGAAAGAAGAGAAGGAACCAAUCACGUCAAACAUAUUCUAACCACUGCUGAUCUCUUCUAUAUUCUUUCUAUUAUUGCCGAUAUUAAAUUCAAAGGAAUCUACAGCAUCGUUAUCUCCAAAAAGCGACUUGAUAUUCAUAAAACUUCGUCAGAACAAAGAAGAGAAGCAACAAACGAUGUCAAGCAUACUCAAACCACUAUUAACUCUUCUUCCUUCUUUCCAUUAUUGCUGAUAUAUAAAAUUUAAAGAGAUCUACGGAAUCAGUAUCCCCAUGUGAGCUCAAAGCUCUCACAGCCUCCUCAGAGCAAAGAAGAGAAGCGUUCAUUAUCGUCAAACACACUCAAACCAUUAUUAACUCUUUCUAUGUUCUUUCUAUCAUUGCCAAUAUAUAAAAUGUAAAUGAAUGUAAAGAGACAGCAUCUGUAGAAAGCCACUCGGGUGUGUCAUAAUCUCCUCAGAACAAAGAAGAGAAGCGAUCAUUAUUGUCAAACACACUCCAACCAUUACUAACUCCUUCUACGUUCUUUCUGUCAUUGCCAAUAUAUAAAAUGUAAAUCAAUAUUGAGAAGCAUCUGCAGAAAACCACUUGGAUGUGUCAUAAUCUCCUCGGAACAAAGAAGAGAAGUAACCAACAUCGUCAAACACACUACAAUCGCCACUGAAUUGUUCUCUGUUCGUCCCAUUAUUGCUGAAAUAUAACAUUUCAAGGAGUCUACAGAAUCGAUAUCUUCAAAAAGACAUAACAUACUUCUUCAGAAGAAAGUUCAGUAGCCAGCGUGGUCAAAGAUACUCCAAACGCUACCAAACUAUUCCCUAUUAUCACAGAAGCGAUUAGUUAUCAAGAGAAAGCGACAAAGCGUUCAGCGACGAGUAUAACUGGAGAAUAAAAAAGUCCUGGAGCUGGGUAAGCGACGUGGAUCGUAGUUACGAAGAGGCAGCUUAAACGUGGAGCGUUCAUCGGUUCAGAAGAAAUUCCUUUUGCCUUUGUCAGCGUUCCUCUGCACGAGAUAAAGGAUUCAGCCAGCCAGAAUUCGUUCGUGCAAACGAUAGAGAAGACAGGAACAGCGUGGCCGCGGGGAUAUUCGAUUGAAUAGCCGAAUUCGAUUACGUUUCGUGUUGGAGAAAAUGGUUUCCGAUGACGAGAGAUGAAGAAACCCGAGGACAGGGUAUAUUUGCUGUAUGUCGUAUGGGCGUGUUCGUUGAAGUUGUAUGCAUGUAGAGGCAAAAGGAAGUGAAAAUGGACAAUUAAAGGAAACAUGGGCAUCGGUAAUGCCAUUGGCAAUAGCACGCAGGAGUUCUGCAGCGACAAGUAUAAGGACUUUCAGCCUCCAGAUGGAGAGCUGUGGUGUGAACCGGUCUGGGACUCUUUGCUCUGCUGGCCACCGACCAAAGCAUCUACGACGACCAAACAGAAAUGCCCAUUCGAAGAUGUAUUCGACGCAACCAAAUCGGUGGAGAAGAAGUGCGGUUACAAUGGUCGAUGGGAGGGGCAGAAUGGGACGAAUAACGAGGAAUACUCGCACGGCUGGGCAAACUACACAACUUGUUUGACACCAGAAAUGCUCCGGCUGCAUGGAAAAGUUUACACCAACACCGUCGAGGGUAACAUGAAGCUGGACAUAGCUGAAAAGACUCGAACGUUAGAAUUCGUUGGUUUAAGCAUCUCUCUAGUAGCUUUGCUUGCUUCGCUUGCCAUAUUCUGUCGUUUUAGGUCCCUGAGAAACACAAGGACCAGGAUACACAAGAAUCUGUUCGUCGCCAUGGUUGUCCAGGUCUUGAUUAGAUUAACACUGUACAUAGACAUUGAGGUCCUCAGAAGGAAGACUUAUGGUAUUCAACAUGGCAUUGGAAACACCCCUGUGCUCUGUGAGGCCAGCUACGCCCUUUUGGAGUACACCAAAACCGCUAUGUUCAUGUGGAUGUUCAUAGAGGGACUGUUCUUGCAUAAUAUGGUCACUGUAACGGUGUUCCAAGAAAACUCAUACUACAGGAUGUAUCGGUUCAUCGGAUGGGGAUGUCCCGUCAUAAUGACGCUAGUUUGGGCCAUCAUCACCGCCUUCUAUUACCAUCCAAAGUCGAAAUUUACCAGAUGCUGGUCUGGAUACAAUCUGUCUUCCUACUUUUGGAUCCUAGAGGGACCUAGAUUUGCAGUGAUAUUGCUCAAUUUUCUGUUUCUGCUGAACAUCGUCAGAGUGCUCGUGGUGAAGCUUCGACAGAGUCACACCAGCGAAAUCGAGCAAGUCUUGAAAGCUGUGAGGGCAGCUGUGGUGCUUCUGCCUUUACUAGGCAUCACCAACGUGCUCUUCAUGAUCGAGGUGCCCCUGCACAACGUGAAGAAAUUCGCCUUGUGGUCUUACUCUACGCAUUUCCUUCAAUCCUUUCAAGGUCUCUUCAUCGCAACACUGUACUGCUUUUUAAAUGGCGAGGUGAGGCUCGCUCUGGACAAAACUAUUUCUGUCUACCUGUCUCUAAGAGGAACUGACUUACAAGCAAGAAGACAGUCGACAUUCAGUGGUUGUCAACCCCAAAGAAUCGCGUCGGUGAUCGAGAUGGAGGAAGAGGAGAUAAGACCCAGCGGAUGGAUAAGACUGUGCUGUCGAGGUGGAAAUACUCCACCACCGGACCGACCUGCCGAGUGAGUAAUGAUCGAGGAAACUUCGCCAUUCCGCACUUAGAUCAUUACCAACAUCGAAGGUUGAUCCUCCUCGCAACAUCGUACCAGUAGAACAGCUGUCUGACCAUGGAGCCUCUUUGGACGAAAGCUUCGAAGUUCCAUUCAGACCAUGAAGAUGAGCUGUGAGCUUCUGUGGAUCAUGAAAAAUGGACAACCUGAAAUUAAUCUAAAGACUCAAUCGUUCGACUUUCAAUUAGUAGAAAUUUGAUUAGAGUAAUGGAUGAAGAUGAUGAGCACAGCGUAAAACUUGACCUGAUUAACAUUCUGAAUGUUUCAAUAAACUUCUUUACUCGAGCAGCAUGGCCAUCAAAUUUUGUAAUUUCUAGAGACAUUGUAAGAUAUCUAUGAAAUGUUAAUUAAUAAUUUACCGAUGUCUGAUUGAGUGGAUAUUGAGGAAGAAUGAUGGAUGGAAAUCUGGAAUUUGAAGACUUUUUGUUGAAAAGUUGGAAAGUAAAUUGUAUGUGACAUAAGUCAUAGUGAAUGGCAUGAGGAAAUUGUUAAAGAUGAUUAUUAAGAAUUAGUGAAUCGUGUGAAUAUACACUUCUCUUCAUUUUCUUCUUAAUGAGAAUUAUUUCAAGCGACAUAUCAUAGAGAAUUGAAAUGGUACCUCUACAAAAAUGACUAAUAAUUAAUCAAAUUCAGGAAGUUAAUUUUUUUUUAAUAAAAAUGAGUUGUAUAUAUUAAGAACAGAAUUUACGAGAGACACAUUCAAGUGAAAUUCAAUUUAUUUUUUGAUAUCUUCAUUUGGAAGAAAAACGAUAGAAGAGAGACGUUUAUAGAUGUAAUUGACGUACGUGUAUUGCUGUUUCUAUUUUUUAAAAUAUAAUCGUGGCUGAUAAUGCAUCAAUUGCGUCCUAUGCUAUUUAUCUAAUACAUUAGAGAAUGCACCAUGUGCAUCUUGGGAAGAAAUUAAUUCCAAUCAGAGUGUAAAAGAUAUUUGACAAUAUAAGAAUUUCAAAUUAAACAAUCCAAAAUGUCAAAUAAAUUAAGAGAACGUUCUGUAAUCUAUGCUUAUAAAAAAUCGUUAUAAUAACAAUAUCAUUUUUUCUGGAAUUAACCCAGACAAAAAGAAAAUAAAAUAAAACUGGGAAACCAGAAGGUUUUCAAAUAUCCUAUUGUAAAUAUUUAUUUUAUGGGUGAACUGAAGCUUUGAUAAUUAAUUUUUGAUCAACAAAUUUUCAUUGAAUAGCUGUAACACUCUCUUCAUGAAUUAUAGACUGACUACUGCGACAGAACGUACUGUGUAAUAUUUUUAAGCUUUUGUCAAACGGCCCAGGGUAUUUAAUUUGUAAGGCUAGCUAAUUAGCGAGCGCAUCAUCGCUUGUAUGACUUUGUAGCUAUGAGUUUUUUUAAAAUGUAAAUAAAUUAUCGUGACAUGUACCCUGUUUGAUGAAGUUUUUUGCAGAAUUGUGACUUUAAUUUUUACACUUUCUAUAAGCAUAAUUUUAAUCACAAUUUUUAUACUUUUUAUAUAAUUCUAAAUUAUAAUUCUUUAUAACAUUUAGAAAAUAGUAUACAUUUCACAACAUUGUUAUCUCAAAAUUUUAUAGAAUUUUAAAUUAAAUUAGGAAACACACGGUUUGUUUUAAGUAGAAAUAUAUAAUAUUCUGAUAUUUGCAAAUAAUUUUUAUUGCCACCAUAAAUGUACAACAAAACACGUUUUAUAAAGUAUAAGAUUGUUUCUUCGAGGAGGAACAUUCAUAAUUUUUAUUUCUACAAAUUUCAGUCAACGUAAAAUAUAUGUCCUCUAUAAUUACAUAUAUAACACAUUUAUGUAAAUACUUCUUAAAGACGCAAAUUAAAUCUAUUUAAUAAUAGACAAAAUUUUGCACGAUUAGAAUUCUUCAAGUUAUAAAAGUUUAACGAAGAAACUUCUGUUAAACAAAUAACCGUGGAGAUCCACUGAAAGGACGGAUUUUAAAAUCUGAUUCAUAUCUUCAACAUCGUUCCUUUCAAGUUUACUAUUACUGUCCAUUUUCUUUCCCCGUUCAGAAUUUGUUCUAUCACGAAUUAACAGAAAAGUGCAAUAAAUAAUCUUAAAAAAUCUUAUAGUAGUAGACAUAACCUUAAUGGACGUCCUAACCUCAAUUUCGAAAAUAAUAUUCUACGUUAAAAGACUAUCACAGACACGGUUUAAAAACACAUGAAAAUCUUCGUUGUGCUUUUCAAUAAACGUACAAAGUUCAAUAUAUAAUAGUAAUACUGGAUUAUCUAUUAGAGAGAGAGAGAGAGAGAAAGAGA
Molecule: RNA transcript, 5528 nt
Organism: Bombus huntii
Lineage: Eukaryota; Metazoa; Arthropoda; Insecta; Hymenoptera; Apidae
Gene: Pdfr
Gene name: PDF receptor
Exons: 14
Source: RefSeq, a predicted model, not a curated record